GGUUUCGUGGUGUAGUGGUUAUCACGUCUGCUUCACACACAGAAAGUCCCCAGUUUGAACCUGGGCGAAACCU
Molecule: transfer RNA, 73 nt
Filed under: Anneissia japonica
Lineage: Eukaryota; Metazoa; Echinodermata; Crinoidea; Comatulida; Comatulidae
Description: tRNA-Val
Rfam family: tRNA
About the family: Transfer RNA (tRNA) molecules are approximately 80 nucleotides in length. Their secondary structure includes four short double-helical elements and three loops (D, anti-codon, and T loops). Further hydrogen bonds mediate the characteristic L-shaped molecular structure. tRNAs have two regions of fundamental functional importance: the anti-codon, which is responsible for specific mRNA codon recognition, and the 3' end, to which the tRNAs corresponding amino acid is attached (by aminoacyl-tRNA synthetases). tRNAs cope with the degeneracy of the genetic code in two manners: having more than one tRNA (with a specific anti-codon) for a particular amino acid; and 'wobble' base-pairing, i.e. permitting non-standard base-pairing at the 3rd anti-codon position.
Source: RNAcentral